RNAcentral lists this ribosomal RNA (443 nucleotides) under uncultured bacterium. Its description in RNAcentral is "bacterial SSU rRNA". It matches the Rfam family "Bacterial small subunit ribosomal RNA", at positions 338 to 795 of the family's 1533-position model. The record is from RNAcentral.
CCUACGGGGGGCUGCAGUGGGGAAUAUUGCACAAUGGGGGAAACCCUGAUGCAGCGACGCCGCGUGAGGGAAGAAGGUUUUCGGAUCGUAAAGCUCUAUCAGCAGGGAAGAAGAAAACGGCAGUUGCUGACUAAGAAGCCCCGGCUAACUACGUGCCAGCAGCGGCGGUAAUACGUAGGGGGCAAUCGUUGUGCGGAAUCACUGGGUGUAAAGGGUGUGUAGGCGGUUGGUCAAGUCGGAUGUGAAAGCCCGGGGCUCAACCCAGGGACUGCAAUUGAAACUGUGUUAGUAGAGUGCAGGGGAGGAAAGUGGAAUUCCUGGUGUAGCGGUGAAAUGCGUAGAUAUUAGGAAGAACACCGGUGGCGAAGGCGGCUUUCUGGACCGUAACUGACGCUGAGACACGAAAGCGUGGGAAGCGAACAGGAUUAGAUACCCGUGUAGUC